Non-coding RNA from Onthophagus taurus, 1769 nucleotides. The record is from RefSeq and is a predicted model, not a curated record. Lineage: Eukaryota; Metazoa; Arthropoda; Insecta; Coleoptera; Scarabaeidae.
CGAUUUCGACUAUCAUAAAGUAAACGUGUAGAAAUCGUGCGAGAAUUUCCAUGAAAAUCGAAGAAUUUGGAGUGAAUUUAAGAAAAAUUUCAAUGAAAUCUUAAUUUAAAAUUGGAUUCGUAUCAUAAUCUCACAGGUUAAAUUAAAGUAAACAAAUUAAAUUGGAUUGCCGUUGCUAAGCAACCGAGUUCAUUUCAACGAUGAUAAAGAAAGCGUCAAAAUUAUUUCAAGAUUUUUUGGCGAAAUCGAAGAAUUUUAAACAAAUUGAAGCCAAUUUAAGCAAAUUUUAGCCAAUUAAAAUCUGAUUCACCUAAAUAUUCAGUUUUAGUUAUUGCCGAUCGACACAUUGUACUCGCGAUCCUACGCGUUCAAUUGUGUCCAAGUAUUCUAAGUAUAUUCUAUAGUUACGUGGCUUUCUGUUUUGUAAGUGUUUCAACUAUUUUUUUGUUUUCAACGGCGAUGACGACAACGUGUCACCAUUUACGUCUGGCAUAAAAUGUGGAUUGGGUUUGUUUGUGAUUGUGGGCGGAAGUUUCCCGGUUAAAUAAUCAUUGAAGCAGUAGAAAAGGAAAUCUCGAUUUAAUAAUAAUAAUUAUCGUAAACCUUGCUUAAUCGUGAUAUUGGUACAAAUUCCUGUGCAUGAAGAUUACGACUUAGUGUUGAAUCCAACAAGUUGGAUUAAUUGUGUAUGAUAAAUGUAAUUUGAGGUUGGAAAUAUGCAAAGAACAAAAUGAUGAAGUAGCGUGUUAAGGAUACUUAUUUGUAUUCAUGACCAAAUUAACUUAUCUCUAUAACGCUGCUGCGCCAAGAUCACAAGCUAUACUAACUCCAUUACCUCCAUAGGCUAAGUUUGUUACCUGCUUUAUGUUAACAGCUAUCUUGUUACCUCUUGAGUUAUUUAGCUCUUUGUAGAACAUAGAAAAGGAAUCAGAAGUUGUGCUGAAUUGAGAAGAAAUUUAUUAUCAUAUUCAUUAUGAUUAUGGUUAAUCUUGCUUGUUGAUUCAUCAUUAGUUCUAAUGUUAAAGACGUAUGCUGAAGCAGGAAUAUGUUGGAAGAAGAAUAUGCAAGAAAUAUGGCUACAAAGAUAAUCUACAUUCACAAAUUCAGUGAAACUAAAGAUCUUGACUAUAAAUUUUUAAUUGGACUUUAGACGUGAUAUGUCACUCGGAGGGGGCUAUCCAAUUUUUCUGGAACAAUUAUGUAGGCGAAAGAUAUUGCAACUAACUCUUAUGGAUAAGACACUGAUUAGAAUCAUAGCGGCGAAGCAGAUAUAGAACAGUUUAAAGAGUACUCUAUAAAGUAUUAACUCUACGAAAAACAGUAUCAAUGGUUGGGAAGUUGUUUCAUGUAAUUGCUGUAUACUUAGGACUCGAGCACUUUGGGAAAAAUUUAACAUUUACCACAUAAAGGAUGAAGAUAUGAAUAUCUCCCUGUAUCAACAUGAAUGGAGAAUGAAAUCGUUAUAAAAUAUCGGUGUCUCGACAACAUUAGGCUAACACAAUGCUAGAGUUUUACAAAGUUUUGCACUGAAGUAAAUGCAAGGACUGCAAGAAUCAUAUGAUUUUGAGAAUAUUCAUCUUGACAUAGGAUGUGGUACAAUUUCUAAAUGAAAAAUUAGCUUUGUGAUAAACGCAAUAUUAGUGUAUACAAUUUUGUUUGUUUUUAAAAUUUAAAAUCUUUCGCCGUACUGCCUCUACUAUGAUAUCUCCUUUCCAAUAUUGAUAUACAACUUUUUUUAGAUUUUUGUUAAUAAAACAAUGUUGCAUAUA